RNAcentral lists this ribosomal RNA (301 nucleotides) under uncultured bacterium. RNAcentral describes it as "partial 16S ribosomal RNA". It matches the Rfam family "Bacterial small subunit ribosomal RNA", at positions 509 to 807 of the family's 1533-position model. The record is from RNAcentral.
CAGCAGCCGCGGGAAUACGAAGGGGGCUAGCGUUGCUCGGAAUGACUGGGCGUAAAGGGCGCGUAGGCGGUUUGUACAGUUGGAUGUGAAAUUCCUGGGCUUAACCUGGGGGCUGCAUUCAAUACGUGCAGGCUUGAGUGGGGAAGAGGGUCGUGGAAUUCCCAGUGUAGAGGUGAAAUUCGUAGAUAUUGGGAAGAACACCGGUGGCGAAGGCGGCGACCUGGUCCUUUACUGACGCUGAGGCGCGAAAGCGUGGGGAGCAAACAGGAUUAGAUACCCCAGUAGUCCCUGUCUCUUAUAC